This 253-nucleotide ribosomal RNA is filed under the name uncultured bacterium. RNAcentral describes it as "partial 16S ribosomal RNA". It matches the Rfam family "Bacterial small subunit ribosomal RNA", at positions 524 to 776 of the family's 1533-position model. The record is from RNAcentral.
UACGUAGGGUGCAAGCGUUGUCCGGAAUUAUUGGGCGUAAAGAGCGUGUAGGCGGCCCGAUUAGUCCGCUGUGAAAGUCCAGGGCUCAACCCUGGAAUGCCGGUGGAUACUGUCGGGCUAGAGUCCGGAAGAGGAGUGUGGAAUUCCCGGUGUAGCGGUGAAAUGCGCAGAUAUCGGGAAGAACACCCGUGGCGAAGGCGGCACUCUGGGACGGUACUGACGCUGAGACGCGAAAGCGUGGGGAGCGAACAGG